CGCCCAGCUAAUUUAUUUUAUUUUUAGUACAGAAGGGGUUUCAUCAUGUGGGCCAGGUUGGUCUUGAACUCCCGACCUCAAAUGUUCCACCCACCUCAGCCUCCCAAAGUUCUGGAAUUACAGGCGUGAGCCACCGCACUCACCUAACCCUUUCAACUGGGGGUCCGUCCCACGUGGGUGUGGACUCCACGGCCACAGUAGCAGAGCUGUCUCUUCUGAAAACCAGACUCCAGGACCCCUGGGUCAGCGCCACUAGGCCAGUCCUCAGACUUACACAGUUUAAAGAAAGAACCAGUGAACAUGGGGUUAUCCUGGGGUGCCAGUGGAUCCCAGAGCAGGCCCGGAGGUCUGCCUUUCUCCCCAGAAAUGAGCUGCCAUCCUCCACUGGUUUGCACUGGGCACAGGGACUGGAGGGCCUGAGGCCACUGAGCUCAGCAUGCUGUCACUUCUUGGGAAGUUGUGGGGGUGAGGAGACUAGCUGGGGCCACUCUGCAAAGGGGAGAAACGGGCACAGGCCAGAGGCACGGGCUGGUAGAGUAAGUCCUCUCCCGCAUUCAUUCAUUCACUUGUUCAUUCAUUUCGUCCAUCAGACACCUGCUGGGCAUCUGCCAUGUGCAAGGCUCUGUGCUGGGUACUCCAGACACAGGACAGAAACCCGGGUCACCCCGUGUGCCUCCGCGCUGGCCUUCCCUGAGGGGUGGGUGCAGGCUUGGUCUCCUAGGCUUUAAGCCCCAUGCAUCAGGUGGAAGACAAUUUCCAGCGGCCUCUGCCGGCUUGUUUUUUCUCCUCUCCAUUCCCUGCCGCCGUGGUCUUUUUUGUCUUUUGUGCAGGGCCGCCUCUCACAGCGCCCGUCUGUGCUCCACAGCGUCUAGGAAAGGAUUAGUGUGAGCAGAGCAUGCAGGCUUUGGUGAACAGAGCCGAGCUUGGUUUCAACAUCUAAUUCAAUUUGUUCUGCCGAGAUUGAAAUAUGAAAUGGUUGCCAGUCAAACGUUCAAAGGACGGGGAAGGGAGAGUGAGCGUCUGCUGAAAUUUAAAUUUUAAUGAAAAUGACUUUAACCCUUUGGUACACCUUGCGGAAAUGUAGCACCUCUUCCCACCCUGGGAAGGCGGCCUCUCGGCUUAGAGCUUUCCACCCACUGCUCUUCCGCUGAGCUUCACUCAUAAUAUGUCAUCGUUUUUUUCCAGCCGUCCCAAUAAUAAAAGAUUAAUAGAAUACUUGCGUAAUAAUAAUUUAUUCACCCAUGCCGCCUGGGCUGUUGAAGUAGGCACCUUGCCUACAUGACUUUCCCAGGCCCCAUCCCAGACAAGCCCAGGCCUCGUGUCAGAUGCACUCAUCACACCAGUUGUCUCCCUAGCUCCUUACAGCUGUGAAUCGUUUCUGUGUGUUUAUUUCAUGUCUGACCUUUCUCUCUCUGGACCGUAAACCCCAGGAGAGCAGGGUCAGUCCCUGUUUUGUGCAUCAUGUAGUAGAUGCUUAGUAAACACUUGGUGAAGGCAUCAGUGGCCCCAACUUUGUCCUUUUAGCAACUGUGAGAGGUAAGUUUAUGGGAGAUGCGGAAACAGAGAGGUGGGUGGCAUUCCCAAGACAGCACUGCACAGAGGGCUGCCAUCAGCCUCAUGCUCAGCUCCUUCUGGCACAAGCCCAAGCCCUUCCUCCCCAGAGCAGUGAGGGCAGUUCCCACAGGCAGGGGGCCGGGCCCCUACGCUGGGCUUCAGAGGCUCACCCCGCGCUCUCGUUCCUGCACCAGGGCCUGGGAUACUGUCUCCACUUUACAGCGGGGGCAGGCCCACUGUGUGCCAUCUCGAGCCCUGUCCUCAAGGCAGCGUGGAUGGAGGCCUCUCUCUCCUCACCCCCGAUGAGGUGCUCCUAUUCAGCUCCUUCCUGCCACAGCACCCCCAGUGUGCUUUUUGGUUUGUUUUUUAAUAUCAUCAAAUGCCAUCAGUGCCGGGCCAGUGGGCAUGCAUUGUAGCUCAUUAUGGCUGUGGACUGACAGUGCCAGGCAUUGCCCAGGCAUCAUAGGGUUCCAGGGUAAAGAGUGGGGCGAUGGGGGCAGCCCUGAGACCACCUUCAGGACUGUCAGCUUCCAAGGACUGAUACCUCAGCUUCAUCCUCUGGGACUCACACAGCCCCAGAGCCCAAGGGAGAGGUUCAGACCUAAAACACCCAGCAGAUGUGUGUUGAGCUCGUGUGUACCAGGCAUGGCCAUGAUGCUGGAGGUGCAGGAGUGGACACAGCAGAUAAGACUCCCUGGCCUCGAGCAGCUGGUGGCCAAAUGUGGGGAGACCCAGCCCCAAGUGGGCAGAGGAUUGCUUUCCUGGCACUGCUGAGGCUCUGUUCUCUCUGAGGAUGCCUGGCAGGCCCAAGGAAGGGCUCCUGAGGAGGUGGCAUGUGAGCAGAGCCAGGAGGAAGGGGACAGAUCUGUAUGCUGAAGAGAGGAAGAGAGGGCCAGCCCAAACCACAGACAAAGCCAGGGAGAAUGGACAGAGGGCUGCCAACCCCGCUCAGGCUUGGGUAUCAAGUCUGGGUCUGUGGAGGGCAGCAGAGCUGCCCCAGUCUGCCACCAUGUUGACAAUCAACAGCAGGACAAGAACCAAAACAGGGAUAGGUGUUCAGAAGCCAUUGCAGUGAGCAGGAGAGACGGGGUUGACUCAGAGCGGAGAGGUGUCCGUGGAGGGCUGAGGUGGCCCUUUCCGGUAGACAGAUUGAAGAUGCAGCCAGUGGCCUGAAGGCUUGGCUGUGGGGUAUGCACAACCAAGUCUCGUUCUCCGGCUGCAGC
Long non-coding RNA from Sapajus apella (tufted capuchin), 2777 nucleotides. RefSeq lists it as uncharacterized. Lineage: Eukaryota; Metazoa; Chordata; Mammalia; Primates; Cebidae. The record is from RefSeq and is a predicted model, not a curated record. The transcript is spliced from 3 exons.